GUAGGGAAUAUUGGACAAUGGGCGAAAGCCUGAUCCAGCAAUGCCGCGUGAGUGAUGAAGGCCUUAGGGUUGUAAAGCUCUUUUACCAGGGAUGAUAAUGACAGUACCUGGAGAAUAAGCUCCGGCUAACUCCGUGCCAGCAGCCGCGGUAAUACGGAGGGAGCUAGCGUUGUUCGGAAUUACUGGGCGUAAAGCGCGCGUAGGCAGCGAUUUAAGUCAGAGGUGAAAGCCCGGGGCUCAACCCCGGAAUAGCCUUUGAGACUGGAUUGCUAGAAUCCUGGAGAGGUGAGUGGAAUUCCGAGUGUAGAGGUGAAAUUCGUAGAUAUUCGGAAGAACACCAGUGGCAAAGGCGGCUCACUGGACAGGUAUUGACGCUGAGGUGCGAAAGCGUGGGGAGCAAACAGGAUUAGAAACCCCAGUAGUCC
RNAcentral lists this ribosomal RNA (425 nucleotides) under uncultured bacterium. RNAcentral describes it as "partial 16S ribosomal RNA". It matches the Rfam family "Bacterial small subunit ribosomal RNA", at positions 354 to 796 of the family's 1533-position model. The record is from RNAcentral.